Molecule: ribosomal RNA, 253 nt
Filed under: uncultured bacterium
Lineage: Bacteria
Description: partial 16S ribosomal RNA
Rfam family: Bacterial small subunit ribosomal RNA
Source: RNAcentral
UACGGGGGGGGCAAGCGUUGUUCGGAAUUACUGGGCGUAAAGGGUGCGUAGGCGGCUUUCUAAGUUGGAUGUGAAAACUCUGGGCUCAACCCAGAGCCUGCAUCCAAAACUGGAGAGCUUGGGUACUGGAGGGGAAAGCGGAAUUCCUGGUGUAGCGGUGAAAUGCGUAGAUAUCAGGAGGAACACCGGUGGCGAAGGCGGCUUUCUGGACAGUUACCGACGCUGAGGCACGAAAGCUAGGGGAGCAAACAGG